Vicia faba (fava bean) is the source of this 315-nucleotide non-coding RNA. NCBI's taxonomy places the organism in Eukaryota, Viridiplantae, Streptophyta, Magnoliopsida, Fabales, Fabaceae. The record is from the annotation of a GenBank genome assembly.
AUGAAUUCUUCCUCUAAACGGACCCUCGCGAUUUCUCAUCAUGCUCUCUCUCGGUUGGAGCAGGGUAAUUGUAUCAGAAUGGACAACUGCAGUUUUGCUUUUUCUUGGACUGUUUUUUGUGGUUUUAUUCAAGGAUGUUGUGGUGGUUUAUGGACAGUUUUGUUUUAUGAUGCAGGGCUGCACAUGACUGCUUUGAAAGUUUUGCAGGAUGAUGCAGGGAGGUUUGGUGGCUUUGAAAUAUGGUUUGAGGUUUACAAAAUAAGGCAAAGGCAAGACAUAUGGUCCAUGUUGGCACAAGAUAUUUUGAAGGCUUGA